UGCACAUAAAAUGUAAUUCGCUUUGGAUAAAAGUGUCUGCUAAAUGGCAUACA
Molecule: non-coding RNA, 53 nt
Organism: Salmo salar (Atlantic salmon)
Lineage: Eukaryota; Metazoa; Chordata; Actinopteri; Salmoniformes; Salmonidae
Source: Rfam